AAUAUUGGUCAAUGGACGCAAGUCUGAACCAGCCAUGCCGCGUGGAGGAUUAAGGCCCUUGGGUUGUAAACUCCUUUUAUCUGGGAAGAAAUGCAUUUUUUCUAAAGUGCUUGACGGUACCAGAGGAAUAAGCACCGGCUAACUCCGUGCCAGCAGCCGCGGUAAUACGGAGGGUGCAAGCGUUAUCCGGAUUUACUGGGUUUAAAGGGUGCGUAGGCGGAUAGGUAAGUCAGUGGUGAAAUCUCCGAGCUUAACUCGGAAACUGCCGUUGAUACUAUUUAUCUUGAAUAUUGUGGAGGUAAGCGGAAUAUGUCAUGUAGCGGUGAAAUGCUUAGAUAUGACAUGGAACACCAAUUGCGAAGGCAGCUUACUACACAGUUAUUGACGCUGAGGCACGAAAGCGUGGGGAUCAAACAGG
RNAcentral lists this ribosomal RNA (418 nucleotides) under uncultured bacterium. RNAcentral's name for it is "partial 16S ribosomal RNA". It matches the Rfam family "Bacterial small subunit ribosomal RNA", at positions 360 to 776 of the family's 1533-position model. The record is from RNAcentral.